AACGAACGCUGGCGGCAUGCCUAACACAUGCAAGUCGAGGGGCAGCAUGUCCCGAGCAAUCGGGAUGAUGGCGACCGGCAAACGGGUGCGGAACACGUACAGAACCUUCCUUCGAGCGGGGAAUAGCCCAGAGAAAUUUGGAUUAAUACCCCAUAGUAUAUUAGGGUGGCAUCACUUUGAUAUUAAAGAUUUAUCACUUGAAGAUGGCUGUGCGGCUGAUUAGAUAGUUGGUGAGGUAACGGCUCACCAAGUCUGCGAUCAGUAACUGGUGUGAGAGCACGACCAGUCACACGGGCACUGAGACACGGGCCCGACUCCUACGGGAGGCAGCAGUAAGGAAUAUUGGUCAAUGGACGAAAGUCUGAACCAGCUAUGCCGCGUGGAGGAUGAAGGCCCUCUGGGUUGUAAACUUCUUUUAUAUGGGACGAAAAAGGGACUUUCUAGUUCAACUGACGGUACCAUGUGAAUAAGCACCGGCUAACUCCGUGCCAGCCGCCGCCGUAA
RNAcentral lists this ribosomal RNA (504 nucleotides) under uncultured bacterium. RNAcentral describes it as "partial 16S ribosomal RNA". It matches the Rfam family "Bacterial small subunit ribosomal RNA", at positions 29 to 523 of the family's 1533-position model. The record is from RNAcentral.